RNAcentral lists this ribosomal RNA (495 nucleotides) under Priestia flexa. RNAcentral describes it as "bacterial SSU rRNA". It matches the Rfam family "Bacterial small subunit ribosomal RNA", at positions 768 to 1261 of the family's 1533-position model. Lineage: Bacteria; Bacillati; Bacillota; Bacilli; Caryophanales; Bacillaceae. The record is from RNAcentral.
GCAAACAGGAUUAGAUACCCUGGUAGUCCACGCCGUAAACGAUGAGUGCUAAGUGUUAGAGGGUUUCCGCCCUUUAGUGCUGCAGCUAACGCAUUAAGCACUCCGCCUGGGGAGUACGGUCGCAAGACUGAAACUCAAAGGAAUUGACGGGGGCCCGCACAAGCGGUGGAGCAUGUGGUUUAAUUCGAAGCAACGCGAAGAACCUUACCAGGUCUUGACAUCCUCUGACAACUCUAGAGAUAGAGCAUUCCCCUUCGGGGGACAGAGUGACAGGUGGUGCAUGGUUGUCGUCAGCUCGUGUCGUGAGAUGUUGGGUUAAGUCCCGCAACGAGCGCAACCCUUGAUCUUAGUUGCCAGCAUUUAGUUGGGCACUCUAAGGUGACUGCCGGUGACAAACCGGAGGAAGGUGGGGAUGACGUCAAAUCAUCAUGCCCCUUAUGACCUGGGCUACACACGUGCUACAAUGGAUGGUACAAAGGGCUGCAAGACCGCGAG